CACCCCAGAUGGGACUGGACAAGAGUGACAGAGUGGACAACCGCUUUUGAGCUGACCAAUGAUCAACACAACCGGGUGGCCACCAUAAAACAAGCUAUCUAUUUACAGGAAAAAAGAAAAGAGCCCAGUGAGGAAUCGGAGACGGUCUGUCCAGUUGUUCCAGGGGACCAAGUUUAUCUGAGGGUAUUCCGGAGAAAAUGGAAUGAGCCCAGGAGAGAAGGACCCUACACAGUGGUGAGAGCUACCCCAACAGCAGUCCAAGUGGAGGGAAGCACAACCUGGUAUCAUCUAAACCACUGUACUAGAGUUCCCACAGGAAAGGCAGAAACAAAGGAAAGCAGACAAUCAGACAAUGCAGGAGAGAGCAAUGAGGAAGAAUCAGAGACACAUGAUGAAGUGCAAACUGACGAGAGCUCUUUCCUCCUGUCAGACAAACUGGAGAGGACAGA
This is a long non-coding RNA of Carassius auratus (goldfish), 449 nucleotides long. RefSeq lists it as uncharacterized. The transcript is spliced from 2 exons. The record is from RefSeq and is a predicted model, not a curated record. Lineage: Eukaryota; Metazoa; Chordata; Actinopteri; Cypriniformes; Cyprinidae.